GUUGGAGAGUUUCACUCCAAACCCCUGUG
RNAcentral lists this ribosomal RNA (29 nucleotides) under Fusarium fujikuroi. RNAcentral's name for it is "partial 18S ribosomal RNA". The record is from RNAcentral. Lineage: Eukaryota; Fungi; Ascomycota; Sordariomycetes; Hypocreales; Nectriaceae.